RNAcentral lists this ribosomal RNA (497 nucleotides) under uncultured bacterium. RNAcentral describes it as "partial 16S ribosomal RNA". It matches the Rfam family "Bacterial small subunit ribosomal RNA", at positions 28 to 507 of the family's 1533-position model. The record is from RNAcentral.
GAUGAACGCUGGCGGCGUGCCUAAUACAUGCAAGUCGAGCGAACAGACGAGGAGCUUGCUCCUCUGACGUUAGCGGCGGACGGGUGAGUAACACGUGGAUAACCUACCUAUAAGACUGGGAUAACUUCGGGAAACCGGAGCUAAUACCGGAUAAUAUAUUGAACCGCAUGGUUCAAUAGUGAAAGACGGUUUUGCUGUCACUUAUAGAUGGAUCCGCGCCGCAUUAGCUAGUUGGUAAGGUAACGGCUUACCAAGGCAACGAUGCGUAGCCGACCUGAGAGGGUGAUCGGCCACACUGGAACUGAGACACGGUCCAGACUCCUAAGGGAGGCAGCAGUAGGGAAUCUUCCGCAAUGGGCGAGAGCCUGACGGAGCAACGCCGCGUGAGUGAUGAAGGUCUUCGGAUCGUAAAACUCUGUUAUUAGGGAAGAACAAAUGUGUAAGUAACUAUGCACGUCUUGACGGUACCUAAUCAGAAAGCCACGGCUAACUACGUG